CUACGCCUCCUACGGGAGGCAGCAGUGGGGAAUAUUGCACAAUGGGCGCAAGCCUGAUGCAGCCAUGCCGCGUGUAUGAAGAAGGCCUUCGGGUUGUAAAGUACUUUCAGCAGUGAGGAAGGUGGGUAUGUUAAUAGCAUACUCAUUUGACGUUAGCUGCAGAAGAAGCACCGGCUAACUCCGUGCCAGCAGCCGCGGUAAUACGGAGGGUGCGAGCGUUAAUCGGAAUUACUGGGCGUAAAGCGCAUGCAGGUGGUUUGUUAAGUCAGAUGUGAAAGCCCGGGGCUCAACCUCGGAAUUGCAUUUGAAACUGGCAAACUAGAGUACUGUAGAGGGGGUAGAAUUUCAGGUGUAGCGGUGAAAUGCGUAGAGAUCUGAAGGAAUACCGGUGGCGAAGGCGGCCCCCUGGACAGAUACUGACACUCAGAUGCGAAAGCGUGGGGAGCAAACAGGAUUAGAUACCCUGGUAG
This 470-nucleotide ribosomal RNA is filed under the name uncultured bacterium. RNAcentral's name for it is "bacterial SSU rRNA". It matches the Rfam family "Bacterial small subunit ribosomal RNA", at positions 330 to 793 of the family's 1533-position model. The record is from RNAcentral.